CCUAAAAAGCAGUGGGUGAGAAGGUUAGCAGUUAGGAAGGUGGGGAAAGGGGACCGUGUACAGUUCUGGGAUGAUGUUUGGUGUGGAGAAGUGCCUUUGAGCGUGAUUUUCCCUAAGUUACAUAACAUAAGCAGAAAUCAGGGGGUGUCUGUGGUGUAUAGGACUAUAUCCUUAAUGCAGCGGUUGCGAAUCAUGCUAAAGGGGGACAUGCUUGUUAUGGCAAAUAAGUGGAUGGAGGAAGUCAUGAUCAAGCUACUCCAACUCAAGCUGAUCAACCUUCCUGAAGCUUUCUGA
This 294-nucleotide long non-coding RNA is filed under the name Oryza sativa tropical japonica subgroup. RNAcentral describes it as "lncRNA OsCMeo_07g0010810". Lineage: Eukaryota; Viridiplantae; Streptophyta; Magnoliopsida; Poales; Poaceae. The record is from RNAcentral.